RNAcentral lists this non-coding RNA (83 nucleotides) under Hathewaya proteolytica DSM 3090. Lineage: Bacteria; Bacillati; Bacillota; Clostridia; Eubacteriales; Clostridiaceae. The record is from RNAcentral.
AAGAGCCGUAUGCGGGAAAACUGCACGUACGGUUCUGUGAGGGGCGGCAGUAAUAGAAAUAUUAUGGAAGCCGUCUACUCGAC